RNAcentral lists this long non-coding RNA (1428 nucleotides) under Macaca mulatta (Rhesus monkey). RNAcentral describes it as "lncRNA (ENSMMUG00000060160.1)". The record is from RNAcentral. Lineage: Eukaryota; Metazoa; Chordata; Mammalia; Primates; Cercopithecidae.
UGAUCAUUUGCAUAUCAUCUGCAGUACUGGCUGCACCAAGCCCUGGGGUGCAGACCUAAGAUUCUCGAACCUAAGAGUACCCUUGGCUGCAAGAGGAUCAGAGAGGCACAAUAUAAGAAAAGCCCACCAGUUAUUGGAGAGCGUGGGCAGGAGGAACCUCUGGGUCCCGCAGAUCAGAAAAACUCCGAAGGCCAGAUUGUGAGUCCGGGGAAGGGAGGCGGAGGGUGGGGGCGGGAGGGGCGGGGAGGGGUGGGACUUGCUCCGGCCCCGCCCCCUCGGCUCCGGAGCAGGUCGGGCUCCCCCUGGCGGUCCCCGGCCCCGCUCCUCUCCUCGUGCGUCCCCCUCCCGCCGUCCUAGACCCCCGCCUAGCCCAGGUCGGUCUCCGCGGACCCACAGCGGACCCACGGACGGACAGAGGGACGGGAGGACGGCCAGCCGCGAGCGCCCGGGAGGCGGCAGGGGGGCGGGGAGGCGACGGCCGUGGCGUGAGGAGCAGGAGCAGGUGUAGCGGCGGCGGCGGGCGGGGCCGGGACCCGGCGCGGAGCGGGGGCCGCGGCACGGGCGGGCGGCAGGGACCGGGAGGCCGCGACUCGGAGUCAGCCCCGCCGGGUCGCGCGCCGUGCCGGGGAGCCAGAAUUGAGCCGGGUGGGGUGGUGACUCCGGAGAACGCAGGAUCCCAAGGAGACAGAGAGGACGAGAGCUGGAGGGGGAUCCGGAGAGCGGCGGAGGCUCUCCGAGAAGGGUGGAGUAGGACAUAGGGGGCACACCUGGAGGGGAGACGGGCGGGGGUGGCCAGGACCUGAGCUGGAGCCUGGGAGCCCCGGAGGCCAGGCAGGUGAGGCGGGAGACCCGGAGGUGGGGGUGAGGUCCGGUUAGUGGGAGAGAUCCGGAGGUGUUAAGUUCUGAGCUGGGCUGAGAAGGUAGGCUGGGAGGGGAGACGGGCUCUCAGUGGGAGACCCAGGGUGGUCAGCUGGCGGGGUAAGCUGAGGGAGGACCCAGGGCCAGGUGGAGAGCCGGCAGGGUUGGGGGCUCCCUAGGCGGCAGGCAGGUGGGCUCAAGGGUGAGGCUGUUUUUUUGUUUUGUUUGUUGUUUGUUUUCUGUUUUUGAGACGGAGUCUCGCUCUGUCACCCAGGCUGGAGUGCAGUGGCAUGAUCUGGGCUCACUGCAACCUCUGCCUCCUGGGUUCAAGCGGUUCUCCUGCCUCAGCCUCCUGAGUAGCUGGGAUUACAGGUGCGCACCACCACGCCUGGCUAACUUUUUUAUUUUUAGUAAAGAUGGUGUUUCACCAUGUUGGUCAGGCUGGUCUCGAACUCCUGACGUCGUGAUCUGCCCGCCUCAGCCUCCCAAAGUACUGGGAUUACAGGCAUGAGCCACCGCGCCUGGCCUGAGGCUGAUAUUAAGAAGUGAAGUGGGAUGCAGGUGGAGGGG